UACACACCGCCCGUCACACCAUGGGAGCCGGUAAUACCCGAAGGUCAGGUAGUCCAACCACGUGAGGACGCUGCCGAAGGUAGGAUUGGCGACUGGGGUGAAGUCGUAACAAGGUAGC
RNAcentral lists this ribosomal RNA (118 nucleotides) under uncultured bacterium. RNAcentral's name for it is "partial 16S ribosomal RNA". It matches the Rfam family "Bacterial small subunit ribosomal RNA", at positions 1384 to 1500 of the family's 1533-position model. The record is from RNAcentral.